This 1172-nucleotide ribosomal RNA is filed under the name uncultured Methanobrevibacter sp. RNAcentral describes it as "partial 16S ribosomal RNA". The record is from RNAcentral. Lineage: Archaea; Methanobacteriati; Methanobacteriota; Methanobacteria; Methanobacteriales; Methanobacteriaceae.
UUAUGACCUAUCCGUUAAUAAGGACAUUACCAAAAAACAAAUUUACAAAAAAGCGGAUUCCUACCCAGACGCCGGCUAAUCCAUCAACCAAUCCAUUACCGAAUGGUUCGGAAACUAGCCAUGCCCAACACUCUCGUUCUCGGGCCUCUACCUUGGACUCUGUUCCAAGGUCCGGGAUGCCCCACGUCGUCCGCGCUUUGGAGGCGUUACACUCUUUAGCGCUGCCCCCCUAGGGUUCACGGUAAGAAUUGCCCUACCGAAAAGUAAUCACAUUUCUCGAAAACCUUAUUCUCGACCCGUUCUGGCCACGGUCGGCGGCGCCAUUGUGGCCGUCGAGAUCACCAUCGUCAAAAAUAACCCGGAUUUCGCAGGCAUCGGCCAAAUUAUUCAGAGACCACUUUAGGACGUCGAAUUGACACCCUUAACGACCUCUAUGAUAAUCUGAACUCUAGCCCUCUCCAAUCUCCAUGAGGGUCCCAUCUCCACUUUAAGACAUUAGGACCCUCCUGGCGGACAACGCUUCCGCAGACUGACCUUGCUAAGACUGCCACUCCCUGCUUUCGAUCCCCGCGCUUGGCCUAAUCUAUGGGCCCAUCAGGAUCGACAUUUGCUACGCCUGAACCACAACCCCACCGAAACUCGACAGGGUCACGGCUUCCCUUCGACAAUUCAGGCGGCGGACCCUUCAUGCCAGCGUUCUGACUUUGAAUUUCCUUAACCGCCCCCUCGUGGUGUUGCGCACCUCGGACGCCAAAUUAACCUAAGUUGCGGCCUGUAGAGUGGUCUCCGCUGUCGACAUACUAUCGGUCCAACUACUGAAACGAACUGAUCGACUCUCCUCCACGUACCGGCGGCAGUCGAGCAUGGCACUCCGCAGGACAAUUCAGUCCGUUGCUCGCUCUGGGUGCGAGAAUCAAUGGUCGCCUAGGAAAAAACCUACGGCCCGUGUGAUUCCCCUGGCGGAUACUAUUUAUCCUCCUUCCUCACCUGCUGCCAUCCAGGCAUACGGGGCUUAGGAGACCCGUUGUGCGCCCGAUGUUACCGACUCUGUUACCCAAGGCUGCGGCUUUCCGCCUCCAUUAGGAGAUUUGAAUCAGCAUCAAGCCUAACUCCUGACAUUGAGCAAGAGUACUUCGACCUUACGCAUCAUUAGCGCACAGUGUUAGCGCGCC